AGGACGAACGCUUGCGACGUGCCUAAGAAAUGCAAGUCGAACGGAUCAGCAGCAAUGCUGGUUAGUGGCGAACGGUCGCGUAACACGUGGACAACCUACCCCGGCGUGGGGGAUACCCGCCAGAAAUGGCGGCUAAUACCGCGUACGGUUGCUGGACGAAGGGUCUGGCAAAGAAAGCAGUAAUGCGCGCUGGGAGGGGUCUGCGGCCGAUUAGCUUGUUGGCGGGGUAACGGCCCACCAAGGCGAUGAUCGGUAGCUGGUCUGAGAGGAUGAUCAGCCACACGGGGACUGAGACACGGCCCCGACUCCUACGGGAGGCAGCAGCAAGGAAUUUUCCGCAAUGGGGGCAACCCUGACGGAGCAACGCCGCGUGACGGAUGACGCCUCUUGGGGUGUAAACGUCUUUUGCCGGGGAAGAGAACGGACGGUACCCGGCGAAUCAGGACCGGCUAACUACGCGCCAGCAGCCGC
RNAcentral lists this ribosomal RNA (471 nucleotides) under uncultured bacterium. RNAcentral's name for it is "SSU rRNA". It matches the Rfam family "Bacterial small subunit ribosomal RNA", at positions 26 to 518 of the family's 1533-position model. The record is from RNAcentral.